UCAUAGUUGUCUUGAGGAUUAGGUGGGU
Molecule: non-coding RNA, 28 nt
Filed under: Homo sapiens (human)
Lineage: Eukaryota; Metazoa; Chordata; Mammalia; Primates; Hominidae
Source: RNAcentral